AAACCAGUUUUGGGAAAAAUGGGCAGUUGAGUUCGGCCAAUUUAUCUAUGGUUUCCUCAACAAUCAUUUUUCCCACAUGUUAUCA
This 85-nucleotide microRNA precursor is filed under the name Oryza sativa (Asian cultivated rice). RNAcentral describes it as "miR6255 stem-loop (osa-MIR6255)". It matches the Rfam family "small nucleolar RNA snoR135", at positions 68 to 143 of the family's 143-position model. Lineage: Eukaryota; Viridiplantae; Streptophyta; Magnoliopsida; Poales; Poaceae. The record is from miRBase by way of RNAcentral.